UACAGAGGUCCCAAGCGUUGUUCGGAUUCACUGGGCGUAAAGGGUGCGUAGGUGGCGAGGUAAGUCGGAUGUGAAAGCUCGGAGCUCAACUCCGAAAUGGCAUUGGAAACUACCUUGCUCGAGGGUUGGAGGGGGGACUGGAAUUCUCGGUGUAGCGGUGAAAUGCGCAGAUAUCAGGAGGAACACCGAUGGCGAAGGCAGGUCUCUGGGCCAUAACUGACGCUGAGAAGCGAAAGCAUAGGGAGCGAACAGG
RNAcentral lists this ribosomal RNA (253 nucleotides) under uncultured bacterium. RNAcentral describes it as "partial 16S ribosomal RNA". It matches the Rfam family "Bacterial small subunit ribosomal RNA", at positions 524 to 776 of the family's 1533-position model. The record is from RNAcentral.